Molecule: ribosomal RNA, 400 nt
Filed under: uncultured bacterium
Lineage: Bacteria
Description: bacterial SSU rRNA
Rfam family: Bacterial small subunit ribosomal RNA
Source: RNAcentral
UGGGGAAUAUUGGACAAUGGGCGCAAGCCUGAUCCAGCAAUUCCGCGUGGGUGAAGAAGGUCUUCGGAUUGUAAAGCCCUUUCGGCAGGGACGAUGAUGACGGUACCUGCAGAAGAAGCCCCGGCUAACUUCGUGCCAGCAGCCGCGGUAAUACGAAGGGGGCUAGCGUUGCUCGGAAUGACUGGGCGUAAAGGGCGCGUAGGCGGUUUAGACAGUCAGGCGUGAAAUUCCUGGGCUUAACCUGGGGGCUGCGUUUGAUACGUUUAGACUUGAGGAUGGAAGAGGCUCGUGGAAUUCCCAGUGUAGAGGUGAAAUUCGUAGAUAUUGGGAAGAACACCGGUGGCGAAGGCGGCGAGCUGGUCCAUUACUGACGCUGAGGCGCGAAAGCGUGGGGAGCAAA